This 358-nucleotide ribosomal RNA is filed under the name Methylobacterium phyllosphaerae. RNAcentral's name for it is "bacterial SSU rRNA". It matches the Rfam family "Bacterial small subunit ribosomal RNA", at positions 56 to 443 of the family's 1533-position model. The record is from RNAcentral. Lineage: Bacteria; Pseudomonadati; Pseudomonadota; Alphaproteobacteria; Hyphomicrobiales; Methylobacteriaceae.
UGCAGUCGAGCGGACCUUUCGGGGUCAGCGGCGGACGGGUGAGUAACGCGUGGGAACGUGCCUUCCGGUUCGGAAUAACCCUGGGAAACUAGGGCUAAUACCGGAUACGCCCUUAUGGGGAAAGGUUUACUGCCGGAAGAUCGGCCCGCGUCUGAUUAGCUAGUUGGUGGGGUAACGGCCUACCAAGGCGACGAUCAGUAGCUGGUCUGAGAGGAUGAUCAGCCACACUGGGACUGAGACACGGCCCAGACUCCUACGGGAGGCAGCAGUGGGGAAUAUUGGACAAUGGGCGCAAGCCUGAUCCAGCCAUGCCGCGUGAGUGAUGAAGGCCUUAGGGUUGUAAAGCUCUUUUAUCCGG